CUAGGAUCUUCUGUUCAGGUGGCCUGCCAUUGCUCAAUGCAGCUGCCCAGCGCAGCUCCUUCUGUCUGCAGCUCAUCAGAUAGCCGUUGAAAAAAAAAAAAAAAUCCUGUUAAAAACUAUGGGGAAAAAAACAAAAACAAAUCCCGCCUGCACAGGUCAGCCUGUGCCCCCCCCCCGUUUCCACGGCAACCGCCCGCCGGCGGGUCGGAAGUGGCUGCCACCCCGCGCGGGGCACGCCGGGAGUUGUAGUCCCGCCGCUCCGCUCCCCGAGCCAGGAAAAUCCCGAGGGAAAAGCUUGGAUAUGUGCGGGGAAAAAAGGGUGUAUAGAGGGACUGAGGGCUGCGUUGUGCCAGGCAGGCAGUGGCUGGGGUCAUCACACGUGGGGCAGCCGUAGGGAAGGAGCUGGCUCUGCAUCCCAAGCUGCAGCCAAAAUUCUCUUGAUUUGAGGUUGUUGCUUUGGUGUGCUGUGCUGCUGUGGGGUUUGUGACCCUGUCCCCCUGCUGCUGCACCCUGGCCCAAGGUGAGCGCGUGCUGCUGAGGAAACACAGCAGGUGGUGGCUUUUCGUUGUUAAAUCAGGACAGGGACUCUCCAGGUGCGUGGCUACUCUGACCCUUCAAGCGAGCUGCAAGCAGUGUGGCCUCUUGUGAUGUGCAGUGCCCAUGGUGCUUUAUAACAGCGAGGACAGGUUGCGUUACAGGAAGAAGCAUCACUGUGUACAUUUCUUUACAGGGCCUUGGAUUAUUCUGACUUUUAAUUACAGAACGUGACAGAUGAGCCCUAAUGAAAUACUUGUUCCUGACCUGUGUUUCUCUGGUUUCAUUAUCUGCAUCUUUCCGAGUUUGUGUUGUAGCUACAUGUUUAUUACACGUGCUCACACACAUGCUUACCCAUGUAGCUCCCACGUUUUAUUCAGCUUAUUCCCACAAUUCACCUUGAGGUUCCUAUUGCCAUUUUACAGAGAUGAUGAUGAAAGUGUGGAGCUCAAGGUUAAACUUCAAAACUGGUUAAAAGUUUUCAGUUCUCAUAAAGAAAAAGACCCUAAAACUCAGAGGUCAGCUUUAAAACUCCCCGGUGGAUUUGCCCAGAGCUUACAGGGACCAUAACAAAACUGGAAACUGAGCGGUAACGCCCCAGCCUGUGCUCCUGUCUUCCUCAUUGAUUGAAAGUAGGAAAAAAAAAAAAAAGAGAAAAUUUGUUUCCCCCUGUGUUUGCCAACCCAACUCAGCAAGGCUGCCACAUACAGGUCCAACAUGGCAUGGGGCAUCAAAGGGCUGUUUCUGCACCCGACGUUGAGUGAAGGAUCCCACGUUUGAGGGCACAUUCUCAUUUCUGUGUAGUGCUGAACAAACACAUCAUUCCUUUCGUGCAAAUAACUCUGCCUUGAGUUGGUAAAUCUGCAGGUAGGCCUGGCAGGAAGCAAAACAAAGAGGCUGGAAAUAAAUAUUUGAAAAGUCACAAUGAUGGCUGUGACACCAGACCAGCUGUGGCACGUAGCCCCUGCUCUGCUACAGACAAAACCCCCUUGUGUUUGUAGGGAGAAGGGAGAGCUGUAAGGGAAGAGGGGAAGAAAUAUCAGGCUGGCAGGGCUUGGGUUUAGGCUAGUGGCUUGUUUUGUAGCAAGAAAUAACCCUUUCUAGCCCUGUGACUCAGGAUUUUCUGUGUAGCUUAAGGCAUUUUUGUUACCCUAGCAAAUUAAAAUGUUUUUUCCUCACUACGCAUGGUCAAAGCGCCAACUUCUUUUAAUCCUGUCACUAGCCAGCACCUCUCCCUCAGCCCUAGUGCUGUGCUAGGUACAAGUGGUCCAGCUCCAGCCCUUUUUUGAUUAU
Long non-coding RNA from Cygnus olor (mute swan), 1827 nucleotides. RefSeq lists it as uncharacterized. The record is from RefSeq and is a predicted model, not a curated record. Lineage: Eukaryota; Metazoa; Chordata; Aves; Anseriformes; Anatidae. The transcript is spliced from 3 exons.